RNAcentral lists this ribosomal RNA (490 nucleotides) under uncultured bacterium. RNAcentral describes it as "partial 16S ribosomal RNA". It matches the Rfam family "Bacterial small subunit ribosomal RNA", at positions 30 to 507 of the family's 1533-position model. The record is from RNAcentral.
AUUGAACGCUGGCGGCAUGCUUUACACAUGCAAGUCGGACGGCCGCACAGAGAAGCUUGCUUCUUGGGUGGCGAGUGGCGAACGGGUGAGUAAUAUAUCGGAACGUACCGAGUAAUGGGGGAUAACUAAUCGAAAGAUUAGCUAAUACCGCAUAUUCUCUGAGGAGGAAAGCAGGGGACCUUCGGGCCUUGCGUUAUUCGAGUGGCCGAUAUCUGAUUAGCUAGUUGGUGGGGUAAAGGCCUACCAAGGCGACGAUCAGUAGCGGGUCUGAGAGGAUGAUCCGCCACACUGGGACUGAGACACGGCCCAGACUCCUACGGGAGGCAGCAGUGGGGAAUUUUGGACAAUGGGCGCAAGCCUGAUCCAGCCAUGCCGCGUGUCUGAAGAAGGCCUUCGGGUUGUAAAGGACUUUUGUCAGGGAAGAAAAGGCUGUUGCUAAUACCGACAGCUGAUGACGGUACCUAAAGAGUAAGCACCGGCUAACUACGUG